AAACAUCGCCUCCUGCAGUAUAUAGGAGGUCCAGCCUGCCCAGUGACCAAGUUAAACGGCCGCGGUACCCUAACCGUGCGAAGGUAGCGCAAUCACUUGUUCUUUAAAUGAGGACUAGUAUGAAUGGCAUCACGAGGGUUACACUGUCUCCCACCUCUAAUCAGUGAAACUGAUCUCCCCGUGAAGAAGCGGGGAUAAAACUAUAAGACGAGAAGACCCCAUGGAGCUUCAAACCCAGCAUCAACCAUUAACAUUAAUACCACAUUAAAUAAAUGGACCUGACUGCUGGUUUUAGGUUGGGGUGACCGCGGAGCAUAACAAAACCUCCAUGAUGAACGACCUCCUCUCUAAUCCGAGAGCCACCACUCAAAGAAUCAAAAAAAUUGACAUUUAUUGACCCAAACUAUUUUGAUCAACGAACCAAGUUACCCUGGGGAUAACAGCGCAAUCCAUUUCAAGAGCCCCUAUCGACAAAUGGGUUUACGACCUCGAUGUUGGAUCAGGGUAUCCUAGUGGUGCAGCCGCUACUAAAGGUUCGUUUGUUCAACGAUUAAAACCCUACGUGAUCUGA
RNAcentral lists this ribosomal RNA (571 nucleotides) under Gastrophryne olivacea (western narrow-mouthed toad). RNAcentral's name for it is "partial 16S ribosomal RNA". It matches the Rfam family "Bacterial large subunit ribosomal RNA", at positions 1811 to 2608 of the family's 2925-position model. The record is from RNAcentral. Lineage: Eukaryota; Metazoa; Chordata; Amphibia; Anura; Microhylidae.